AGUAACACGUGAACAACCUGCCCUUGACUUCGGAAUACCAGCUGGAAACAGCUGCUGAUACCGGAUAUGACCUCGGCCCGCAUGGGUUGGGGUGGAAAGCUCCGGCGGUCAGGGAUGGGCUCGCGGCCUAUCAGCUUGUUGGUGAGGUAAUGGCUCACCAAGGCUUCGACGGGUAGCCGGCCUGAGAGGGCGACCGGCCACACUGGGACUGACACACGGUCCAG
Molecule: ribosomal RNA, 224 nt
Filed under: uncultured bacterium
Lineage: Bacteria
Description: partial 16S ribosomal RNA
Rfam family: Bacterial small subunit ribosomal RNA
Source: RNAcentral